RNAcentral lists this ribosomal RNA (301 nucleotides) under uncultured bacterium. RNAcentral's name for it is "partial 16S ribosomal RNA". It matches the Rfam family "Archaeal small subunit ribosomal RNA", at positions 462 to 761 of the family's 1478-position model. The record is from RNAcentral.
CACGCCGCGGGAACACCAGCAGCCCAAGUGGUGGUCGCGUUUAUUGGGCCUAAAGCGCUCGUAGCCUGACCGGUAAGUUCCCCGUGAAAUCGGGUCGCCCAACGAUUCGGCUUGCGGGGAAUACUGUCGGUCUUGGGGCCGGGAGACGCCGAGGGUACUCCGGGGGUAGCGGUGAAAUGCUGUAAUCCUCGGGGGACUACCAGUGGCGAAGGCGCUUGGCGAUAACGGGCCUGACGGUGAGGGGCGAAAGCUGGGGGCGCGAACGGGAUUAGAUACCCCCGUAGUCCCUGUCUCUUAUACC